This 468-nucleotide ribosomal RNA is filed under the name uncultured bacterium. RNAcentral describes it as "partial 16S ribosomal RNA". It matches the Rfam family "Bacterial small subunit ribosomal RNA", at positions 28 to 507 of the family's 1533-position model. The record is from RNAcentral.
GACGAACGCUGGCGGCGUGCUUAACACAUGCAAGUCGAACGGAAAGGCCCUGCUUUUGUGGGGUGCUCGAGUGGCGAACGGGUGAGUAACACGUGAGUAACCUGCCCUUGACUUUGGGAUAACUUCAGGAAACUGGGGCUAAUACCGGAUAUGAGCUCCUGCUGCAUGUUGGGGGUUGGAAAGUUUCGGCGGUUGGGGAUGGACUCGCGGCUUAUCAGCUUGUUGGUGGGGUAGUGGCUUACCAAGGCUUUGACGGGUAGCCGGCCUGAGAGGGUGACCGGCGACAUGGGGACUGAGAUACGGAGCAGAAUCCUACGGGAGGCAGCAGUGGGGAAUAUUGCAGAAUGGGCGGAAGCGUGAUGCGGAAACGCCGCGUGCGGGAUGACGGCCUUCGGGUUGUAAACCGCUUUCGCCUGUGACGAAGAGUGAGUGGCGGUAAUGGGUAAAGAAGCACCGGCUAACUACGUG